AUGGGAACGCGAAGAACCUUACCUACUCUUGACAUCCAGAGAACUUAGCAGAGAUGCUUUGGUGCCUUCGGGAACUCUGAGACAGGUGCCGCAUGGCUGUCGUCAGCUCGUGUUGUGAAAUGUUGGGUUAAGUCCCGCAACGAGCGCAACCCUUAUCCUUUGUUGCCAGCGGUUAGGCCGGGAACUCAAAGGAGACUGCCAGUGAUAAACUGGAGGAAGGUGGGGAUGACGUCAAGUCAUCAUGGCCCUUACGAGUAGGGCUACACACGUGCUACAAUGGCGCAUACAAAGAGAAGCGACCUCGCGAGAGCAAGCGGACCUCAUAAAGUGCGUCGUAGUCCGGAUUGGAGUCUGCAACUCGACUCCAUGAAGUCGGAAUCGCUAGUAAUCGUAGAUCAGAAUGCUACGGUGAAUACGUUCCCGGGUCUUGUACACACCG
This 439-nucleotide ribosomal RNA is filed under the name uncultured bacterium. RNAcentral describes it as "bacterial SSU rRNA". It matches the Rfam family "Bacterial small subunit ribosomal RNA", at positions 954 to 1392 of the family's 1533-position model. The record is from RNAcentral.